RNAcentral lists this ribosomal RNA (253 nucleotides) under uncultured bacterium. RNAcentral's name for it is "partial 16S ribosomal RNA". It matches the Rfam family "Bacterial small subunit ribosomal RNA", at positions 524 to 776 of the family's 1533-position model. The record is from RNAcentral.
UACAGAGGGUGCGAGCGUUGUCCGGAAUCACUGGGCGUAAAGGGCGCGUAGGCGGCCCGGUAAGGUUGCGGUGAAAGCCCGGGGCUCAACCCCGGGUCGGCCGUGGCAACUGCUGGGCUGGAGCACAGUAGAGGCGGGUGGAAUUCCGGGUGUAGCGGUGGAAUGCGUAGAUAUCAGGAGGAACACCUGUGGCGAUAGCGGCUCACUGGACCAUAACUGACGCUGAUGCACGAAAGCUAGGGGAGCAAACAGG